GACGAACGCUGGCGGCGUGCCUAACACAUGCAAGUCGAGCGAGGUCCAACCGGUGCUUGCACCGGUGAAGACCUAGCGGCGAACGGGUGAGUAACACGUGAGAAACCUGCCCCGAAGUCCGGGAUAACCCGGGGAAACCCGAGCUAAUACCGGAUACCUUCAUCGGACCGCAUGGUCUGAUGAAGAAGAACUUCGCUUCGGGAGGGUCUCGCGGCCUAUCAGUUAGUUGGUGGGGUAACGGCCUACCAAGACGACGACGGGUAGCUGGUCUGAGAGGACGAUCAGCCACACUGGGACUGAGACACGGCCCAGACUCCUACGGGUGGCAG
RNAcentral lists this ribosomal RNA (329 nucleotides) under uncultured Actinomycetes bacterium. RNAcentral's name for it is "bacterial SSU rRNA". It matches the Rfam family "Bacterial small subunit ribosomal RNA", at positions 28 to 351 of the family's 1533-position model. The record is from RNAcentral. Lineage: Bacteria; Bacillati; Actinomycetota; Actinomycetes.